GGACCCGCACAAGUAGUGGAGCAUGUGGUUUAAUUCGAAGAUACGCGCAGAACCUUACCAACACUUGACAUGUUCGUCGCGACUCUAAGAGAUUAGAGUUUUCGGUUCGGCCGGACGAAACACAGGUGCUGCAUGGCUGUCGUCAGCUCGUGUCGUGAGAUGUUGGGUUAAGUCCCGCAACGAGCGCAACCCUCACUUUUAGUUGCCAUCAUUUAGUUGGGCACUCUGAAAGAACUGCCAGUGAUAAGCUGGAGGAAGGUGGGGAUGACGUCAAGUCCUCAUGGCCCUUACGUGUUGGGCUACACACGUGCUACAAUGGGGGUGACAAAGAGUUGCCAAGCUGCAGAAGCAUGCCG
RNAcentral lists this ribosomal RNA (356 nucleotides) under uncultured bacterium. RNAcentral's name for it is "bacterial SSU rRNA". It matches the Rfam family "Bacterial small subunit ribosomal RNA", at positions 917 to 1270 of the family's 1533-position model. The record is from RNAcentral.